GAGUGGUCUAUUCCUACUCUU
RNAcentral lists this microRNA (21 nucleotides) under Monodelphis domestica (gray short-tailed opossum). RNAcentral describes it as "mdo-miR-7322-3p". Lineage: Eukaryota; Metazoa; Chordata; Mammalia; Didelphimorphia; Didelphidae. The record is from miRBase by way of RNAcentral.